GCACGUCUGAAGGGCACUGCAUGGGCCUUCCACGUCGAGCGUCUAUUGCUGCCUACCCUAUGCCCCUUCAGAACGGCAAGCUGUGUGAUCUAUGUGCGCCCACACACGUCUGUCGGCGGCCCCCUUCGGCUUGAUGUGCCCAUUCCUGUGAGAGGACUGCGGGCUCAGCAGAAGGUAGAAUGCCCCCCCCCCCCCCCCCCCCCGGCCGCCACAAACUCACGGCAUUGUCCCACCUGUCGCGGCGCAUGCGGGCAAGCCAUCCAGGCACGCCCCUUGUAAUAUCGGCGGAAACGGAAGAUAAUGACAGCGAGCCCACCAGACAACACGGCUGCCCUGCAACGGAUCCUGAGGUUCACUGGUGUGGACACUGUGCGCACGCGCAUGCCAAGCACCGCUGGCAUGUCGUGUACCGCAUCUAACCGAGGCACGCGGUCGUUAGGAGAGCACGAGUGAUGGAGGGGAAAGGUGCGCAGAGAUGCACGCCGAUCAGCCCCAGGGUGCAUGGGUGCGAGGCAUGAGGCAUCUGCUACAUCCGGCUGGGUUGGCCGAUGAGGCGCAGACCCCAGAAACAUGACGAGAACACCCUGAGCUGCAUCAUCGAGUACUCCAGACUCUCCAGUGUGGCGAGCCGUCGCACCACAUUGCGGAAUGCCGCUGCUCGAGGCGACUGAAGGGGGACAUGUCACACAGGCAGGGGGUGCAAGGUCUCCAGAGGACCCUGGCUUGCAGCUGACCAACUGCCUCCCUAAGCUCAUCCGGCAUGCGCCUAGGCCAGCCCCGCUGCUACCCGCACGCCACACGCCAAGACGUUCCGCCUCUCGAGCAGGACCCCAGAGGCGGUCUGCUUGGAUCAAGGCGUGCAACACAGCCGAGUCUCCACCUGGCCCCUAUCGCGCAGCACGUACCCGAGGAAGGGACAAGGCAAGGACAAGCCGAGCCCGUUAGAGAGGCGUGCCCGCAUUCGACAGAAGGGCGACUCGUCCAUGGCGACCCGGAUUCAGCUGUAUCGCGGCAGAGGUGGAUGCGCUGCCGUUGUAUGCAUCUCUUCGCUGACUUAUGGGAGGAUGGCGUGCUGCACGAACGGAAUUGCCCCUCUCCAACACUGCCACCACACGCACACACUCACACUUGCACCUUAGCCGACGAACCGUGUUUAUGAUGUGGACAGCGGACGCUCGCGGAGGGCAGGGACACGAGGUUCGAGGGCAGGCGACAAUAACAUACCGGCGCACGUUGAACGUUCGCCCACACUUUCGAGCACCUGCACCUGCAGCUUUUAUCGCUUGUGCCUGCGUGCGUGGCCUUGAAACCUGUGGUUGUGCCUCUGUGUACGCGUGUUUGCCGCUGUGGUUCCAUGUGUCCCGCCGUGCGCGCGCACGUGCGCGCGCCUGCUUCCUUCCCUCUGUCUUUACUUUCUCUUCGCAGUCAUCUGUCUGUCGCGUUUUUUUUUGUUUGCUCCCCCCGCCUUUCCCCUUUCUCUCUCGCUUCUGCUCAACAG
This 1498-nucleotide unclassified non-coding RNA is filed under the name Leishmania donovani. Its description in RNAcentral is "gene:unknown". Lineage: Eukaryota; Euglenozoa; Kinetoplastea; Trypanosomatida; Trypanosomatidae. The record is from RNAcentral.